Molecule: ribosomal RNA, 468 nt
Filed under: uncultured bacterium
Lineage: Bacteria
Description: partial 16S ribosomal RNA
Rfam family: Bacterial small subunit ribosomal RNA
Source: RNAcentral
GACGAACGCUGGCGGCGUGCUUAACACAUGCAAGUCGAACGGAAAGGCCCUGCUUGUUUGGGGUGCUCGAGUGGCGAACGGGUGAGUAACACGUGAGUAACCUGCCCUUGACUUUGGGAUAACUUCAGGAAACUGGGGCUAAUACCGGAUAGGAUCUCCUGCUGCAUGGUGGGGGUUGGAAAGUUUCGGCGGUUGGGGAUGGACUCGCGGCUUAUCAGCUUGUUGGUUGGGUAGUGGCUUACCAAGGCUUUGACGGGUAGCCGGCCUGAGAGGGUGACCGGCCACAUGGGGACUGCGGUACGGACCAGACUCCUACGGGAGGCAGCAGUGGGGAAUAUUGCACAAUGGGAGGAAGCCUGAUGAAGCAACGCCGCGUGCGGGAUGACGGCCUGUGGGUUGUAAACCGCUUUAGCCUGUGACGAAGCGUGAGUGACGGUAAUGGGUAAAGAAGCACCGGCUAACUACGUG